Molecule: ribosomal RNA, 784 nt
Filed under: Limosilactobacillus reuteri
Lineage: Bacteria; Bacillati; Bacillota; Bacilli; Lactobacillales; Lactobacillaceae
Description: bacterial SSU rRNA
Rfam family: Bacterial small subunit ribosomal RNA
Source: RNAcentral
UUUAUAUGAGAGUUUGAUCCUGGCUCAGGAUGAACGCCGGCGGUGUGCCUAAUACAUGCAAGUCGUACGCACUGGCCCAACUGAUUGAUGGUGCUUGCACCGGAUUGACGUUGGAUCACCAGUGAGUGGCGGACGGGUGAGUAACACGUAGGUAACCUGCCCGGAGCGGGGGAUAACAUUUGGAAACAGAUGCUAAUACCGCAUAACAACAAAAGCCACAUGGCUUUUGUUUGAAAGAUGGCUUUGGCUAUCACUCUGGGAUGGACCUGCGGUGCAUUAGCUAGUUGGUAAGGUAACGGCUUACCAAGGCGAUGAUGCAUAGCCGAGUUGAGAGACUGAUCGGCCACAAUGGAACUGAGACACGGUCCAUACUCCUACGGGAGGCAGCAGUAGGGAAUCUUCCACAAUGGGCGCAAGCCUGAUGGAGCAACACCGCGUGAGUGAAGAAGGGUUUCGGCUCGUAAAGCUCUGUUGUUGGAGAAGAACGUGCGUGAGAGUAACUGUUCACGCAGUGACGGUAUCCAACCAGAAAGUCACGGCUAACUACGUGCCAGCAGCCGCGGUAAUACGUAGGUGGCAAGCGUUAUCCGGAUUUAUUGGGCGUAAAGCGAGCGCAGGCGGUUGCUUAGGUCUGAUGUGAAAGCCUUCGGCUUAACCGAAGAAGUGCAUCGGAAACCGGGCGACUUGAGUGCAGAAGAGGACAGUGGAACUCCAUGUGUAGCGGUGGAAUGCGUAGAUAUAUGGAAGAACACCAGUGGCGAAGGCGGCUGUCUGGUCUGCAACU